UACGAGAGGCCCAAACGUUAUUCGGAUUUACUGGGCGUAAAGGGCGCGUAGGUGGCCCGCUAAGUCGAACGUGAAAUCCCCAGGCUCAACCUGGGAACUGCGUCCGAUACUGGCAGGCUUGAAUCCGGGAGAGGGAUGUGGAAUUCCGAGUGUAGAGGUGAAAUUCGUAGAUAUUCGGAAGAACACCAGUGGCGAAGGCGGCUCACUGGACCGGUAUUGACGCUGAGGUGCGAAAGCGUGGGGAGCAAACAGG
RNAcentral lists this ribosomal RNA (253 nucleotides) under uncultured bacterium. RNAcentral describes it as "partial 16S ribosomal RNA". It matches the Rfam family "Bacterial small subunit ribosomal RNA", at positions 524 to 776 of the family's 1533-position model. The record is from RNAcentral.